Molecule: ribosomal RNA, 468 nt
Filed under: uncultured bacterium
Lineage: Bacteria
Description: partial 16S ribosomal RNA
Rfam family: Bacterial small subunit ribosomal RNA
Source: RNAcentral
GACGAACGCUGGCGGCGUGCUUAACACAUGCGAGUCGAACGGAAAGGCCCUGCUUUUGUUUGGUGCUCGAGUGGCGAACGCGUGAGUAACACGUGAGUAACCUGCCCCUGAAAUUGUGGUAACUUUAGGAAACUGGGGCUAAUACCCCGUAGGAGCUCCUGCUGCAUGGUGUUGGAUAGAAAGAUUCGGUGGUUGUGGCUGGUUUCGCAGCUUCUCAGCUUCUUUGUGGGGUAGUGGCGUACCAAGGUUUUGACGGGUACCCGGCCUCGGAGGGUGACCGCGCACAAUGCGACCGAGGUAAGGCCCAGUAGGCUACGGGAGGCAGCAGUCGGGAGUCUGACGGAAUGGGGGGAAGCCAGGAGGAGAAAGCUCGCGUGCGGGAUAACGGCCUUUGGGUUGUAAACCGCUUUCGCCUGUGACGAAGCGUGAGUGACGGUAAUGGGUAAGGAAGCACCGGCUAACUACGUG